This 8651-nucleotide long non-coding RNA is filed under the name Olea europaea (common olive). RNAcentral's name for it is "long non-coding RNA (OEUR_LNC012380)". The record is from RNAcentral. Lineage: Eukaryota; Viridiplantae; Streptophyta; Magnoliopsida; Lamiales; Oleaceae.
UCGUUCAAACAAGGGCUUAGCGUUCCAAAAAAUGAGGGCAAAACAUAGCACGAGUCAAACAACUCCAAAAAAUCUCUUAUAAGAAUUCAUAUUCUCGCCUAUUAUUCAGAAUUCAGACUAGCUUUUCUGGCGCCCUUAUUCCGUCUACCACCCACAUCAUUACUCUGAGCCUGACCCAAUUUCGUCUAAUGGCAUCUUGAUCAGGUAAACUCCGGUCUACUGUUUUUGUCCAUUUUUCUUAAUUUAAAGAUUCAGUUCUUCUGAUAUUUGUUUCUUUAUGUCAUUUUGAGAAGGAAUAAUUGCUUCCUUGAGUCGAAAUCCAAAUAUUUUACUGCUGAAAGCCAGUAACUGUAUACUAUGUUUAGAGGUUCAAGAUUUUGACUUAUCUUAGUUUUUGAUCUUUUCAUGAUUGUAAAUUGCUUUUCGAGUGAUGUUGUGGGUUUUUUUUUAUUUCUCAGAUAGUGUUUGAGAAUUUUUGCUGGAAUAGUAAUUGAGAAAUUUACACCCAGUUCCCCCAUUUUCUUUCAUUUUUUUCCAAAUCUUAUUUUCUAUUGCGCAAUCUUUUUCAUUCCUUUUCAACAACGCAUUUUCCAAAAAAAUAUUAUUCCAAACAUUAAAAUUUAGAAAAAAUGGGGGCUUAACGGGUGCUUAAUUUCAGUUUUUAUUGGGGUUUGAUCUUUCUUGAAUGGAAGUUGUUUGUUGAGGUCUAGAUUGAUUGAACUCAAAGUGAUGUUUGUGGGUUGUUUCUACAGAACGGCAUAUUAUUUGAGAUUUUUUUUUUUUUUUUUUUUUUUUUCUUUUUCCAGUGGUGAUAGGGACAUAAUUUUUUGGACCUUGGGUCAAAGAGGAGAACAUGGAAAUUCCUUCAAUUUCACUGAGUUUUGAGUCACUUGUUCGGUUGUUCCUUUCACCUUAAAGAGGGUGGAAGAUAAUAGUUACUGUGUUCUACUGGUACUUCUGGAACACAGAUAGUUAAGAUUAGUGAUGAUUUGAAAUUCAUAAACCCCUUAGACGUAGAUCUUGGAUUAACUACACCCAGUUAAAUAACAAGUCGGGUGAUGCUAUCAGCUGGUUAAAUUUUGGUUUAGUACGAGUGAGUAUUACCCAAAAAAUAUAUUCUUUGAAUGUUGCGAGAUCAAUUUCCUUCCCCACUAUCACACAACACCUAUUGGCCAAAUUUUAUGACAGUAGCUAAAAUGCAGAAAAUGUAAAGAAUAAGAACACCAAAAAUGAUCACCCAAUCCACCCAAAUAAGGGCUCAGGAUCAGUCCAAUCCACUGUGUAAAACCAACCUUCCAAAGAGAUCAAUGUACAAAGGAACCAAUCAGACUUUCUCUUAAGGUUCUAAAGAUAGAUUACACAAAGAUCUCAAGAACCAAAUACAAAAAUCAACCCUAAACUUGACAAGAACAAACACAGCUAAACCAGUGCACCACGGUCAAAAAACAAUUGACCGAAACCUUUCUUUCAAGUCUAUAACACAAGGGUUAUACAAUUCUUUUUAACCUCUCUAAUAAUCACAAUGAAACAUAAUAGAAAUUGGAAGAAUUUCAGAGAGAGAGAGACAGAGAGACGCCUUUCAAAAAUCUCUAGAAAGAAUGAGAACUCAAGCCACUAAAAACGGGUAGCACAAGAGUCAUAAAAGCCAUGUAUAAUCAAGAUUGAAUCCCAGCCACACAUUAUGAUUCAAUGCCUCACAAUGGAGUUGAAGAAGCACAAUCCUCAUUUUAGUAAAAUAACCAAUUGGUGGUUGCCAUUUGGCCCUCCAAACCAAUUAAAAAGGCAAAGUAGCACUUCUUUUAAAUAAAUCCAAAGUUUCCAAUUUAGUGAAACACGCCUUUUACACUUUCAAUCUUCACCUUGUUUCACUAAAUACAUCGACUCUCUUAGUUGCAUGGUUUACAUAGUAAGACUGAUCAUCAUCACUGCCCGGUACCUGCAAAAGAAUUAUCCAUUUUCAAUAUACGGAAUUGAUAAACCAAAAUUUAAACAUACUAGUUGAAAGCAUUUUAAGUCUCAUAUCAAAUGGACAUACAUCAACAUGAAUUUUCUCAAGAUUUAACUUCACCUGAAGCUGUCUUAUCCGUUUAGAAGAUGAUACUUCACCUUAACAUAUGUUUACCUCUAUAAUGAGCAAAAUUUAUAAUAACCAACAAUGCAAUUUUACUAACAAUGAGAGUAAUGCAAGUAUCAUACACAAACUUUCCGAUACAGAAAGAGAGAGAAAAAUCGCCUACCAAAAGACUUUUUUUCGAUCUCCAUUCUCUAACGAAUAUAUCUUUUUCUUGUUCCAAUCCAAUUAGGUGACUAUAAGGAUGAGGUUGAUUGUGAUGUCUUACCCAUGGAUGUAGCUCAUAUCCUUCUAGGACGCCCUUGGCUUUAGAAUGGAAAAUAUAAUCAAAAUUCAUGAGGCCUAGAAAAAUCUUGAAAACAGGAAGCAUCUGGGCACCGUUGAAAGAGUAUCGCAGGUUCAGGCAAGCACCCAACCUAUACAAGGUGCUGGUGUUCUCCUUUACUAAGUAAUUCAAAAUACACAAAAUCCCUUUCAACCAAAUCCAUUCUUUCACAUUUCUCAUAUUUAUGCAGUCAUUUUCCAACGUAAAGAAGUAGGUAAUAAUGGAUUUCCUGUGAUCUUUGCCACGCACAAAGUCAACAUCCACACAUCCUUUAAGGAUCAACCUAUUAAACCUUUUCAAUUUACAAACAAUGUCCUUCACCUCAAAGUCUAAUGGUUGACUCAUAUGGAUAUUUUCCUUCAAUUCCCAAUGUAGGAAAGCAGUUUUAACAUCUAGUGAUUCAAGUUCCCAAAUGAAUUGAACUACUAAUGCUAAAAACAAUCUAAUUAUUUUAUAUUCAAUGACAAGGGAAAAUAUCUCAAUAUAGUCAAACCUCUCUUUUAGUGUGUAAAUCCACUUGCAUUUUACUAUUCUUUGACCAUUAGGCAAAUUAACCAAACUCCCUCUAUCCCUAACCAAUUUGUAAUGUUGGAUAGAAUUCUCUUCAAUUAUCGGGGUGUUCGUUUCCGUUUCAUUUUCACCAUGAGGUACAUCAACCUCAUCAAUUACAGGUUCAUUCUCAUCGGAAUGAGUGAAGUCAUAUUUUGCCAACUUCACCUUAUUCUGAAAUUUCUUGUGACAUCCAAUUUCCUCAGAAUCAUCAUGUUGUCUGAAUUUUAAACAAGGCAUUUAAGAUUCAUUAAACAUAACAUCCUUGCUGUUAAUGAUCGUAAUACCAAGUUCCCCUAAAUCCACAACCUGUAAUCUCUAACCCCUUUAGGAUAGCCUAGCAUAACACAUCUAAUAUCCCUAGGCACCAACUUGCCCUCAGUUUGGCGUGGAUACGCCACACACCCAAACAGUCUAAUAUGUGUUAAAUUUGGUGGCUUCCCUGUCCAUAGUUCUUGAGGAGUCUUAAACUCGACAACUAGAUAGAGAUCUAUUCAUCAAAUAUGUUGUUGUGCAUAAUGCCUCAGCCCAAAACCCUUUAGCAAGUCCUAAAUUGACUAACAUGCACCUAGCCUUAUUCAUCAAAGUUUUAUUCAUUCUUUUUGCCACCCCAUCUUGUCUCAUGACUUUUAGUGUAUUAUUUUUAGAUUUAAAGUCAUGUCCUUCAUUCUCAAGGAUUCCCAAAGAUAUGAGAUUCCUUUUAAGAUUAGGAACAUACCUAACAUUUCUUAAUUGCCUGAUAAUACCGUCAGGCAUCUUGAUGGCUAUGUCCCCAAUACCAUUGAUAGUAUGAGAAUUAUUAUCACCCAUAUAAACAUUACUAGGUUCAACUUCCCUAUAGUUAUAAAACCAUGAGCUGACGGGACAUAUGGAAUAUGCACCCUGAAUCUAAAAUCCAGUCUCGACUAAUAUCUUCACAAGAUACAGUCAUAACAUACAAGCUGUCCAAGUCAUGUCCAACAGCAAUAUUGUUCGAUUCCAUAUCGUUUUGAUCAUUUUUCUUCAUUUUCCACUCAAAGCGAUCUCUCUUAAAGUGCGCUAGCUCCCUACUGCCAUAACAAUUCUUGUUACUUUUAUCUUGGGAUAUAGAUCUCUCCUUUGAUUUUCCUUUCACUUUCCUCACCUGAAAGUCAUUCUCUCUUUUUUCACUUCUUCCUCUUACAAACAUAAUUUCUUCCCUAGCCUCUCUUGAUUCCCUUUUAACUUCUAAAUCUCUCGAUUUUAAGGCAUCUAUUACAACUGCUUGCGAUAAUUUGUCCUUUGAGUAUUUUAUUGCAUUUCUCACAUCCUUAUAAGAGUCAGGCAAAGAAUUCAAUAAGAUGAUAGCCAAAUCCUCAUCAUCAAAUUUCUUAUCAUCAUGUGCAAGACUCUUCACGAUUAUACUAAAAUCACUUAGAUUCACUUCUAAGUCCUUUCUCGGGUCCAUCCUAAAACUAAACAAUUUCUCCAAAAGAUAAAUUUUAUUUGGCAAUGUUUUAGUUAGGAAUAAAGCAUCAAGUGUAGUCCAUAAAUCCCUAGCAUUCUUAGCUUCAUCAACUUGUCUAACAAUAUCAUCAGACAAAUGCAAAAUUAUAGAGCUGAAUGCAAUCUCAUUCAUUUCCUCAAUUUCAGCAAGUUUAGAAUUUAAUUCAACAGAAAAUGUUUCAGGAUCAUCAAGGGCUUUAGCAACCCUUUGUUGGACUAAAAUAGCCCUCAUUUUCUGCUUUCAUAUCGAGUAAUCCACUUUCCAUCGAAUUGAGAUAGUUCUACGCUUGAACCCAUAACAGAUUCAAUGGAAGGGUGAUUUGAACUCGAGGCCAUUUGGUAAUCUUGGAUUCCCAAAAAUAAGCAGAAAAAGUUUUUGAAAAAAACACUCAGAUUUUACAGAUCAGUUAAGAAACAGUUUCAGAAUUAAACAGAUGAAAUGAACAGUCAGAUUACUGUGAAUUGUGUGUGCUGCAGGCAUGUAUGAUAAUCAGCAAUAACAAGUAAUUCAUCAAUUAAAAGUUAUGCAGUCCAGAUAUGUGUAAUACUCAGCAAUAACAUGUAAUUCGUCAAUUAACAGUUAUGCAGUCCAGAUUACAUUAUAUAUCAAUAUAGCAUGUAGCAACAAAUUCCAAUUUGCAUUAAACAGUAAGAAACCAGUAUGAGAUUUUAAAUUGAGUUCAAGAAAUUUAAACGAUCUCACUAAAAUUGUUGAAUAAUAGUUUAAUACUUCUGAAUCCAAUUUCUUAUCAAGAAGCUAAGAGUCUAGCAAGUCCACCUCAAAUUUAGUGGAACCAAAAUAGUAAUUCAACCUGAAACACUUGAUCAAACAAUAUCGGUAGGCUCUUUGAAAGAAAAUAUAAUAUCAAAUAUCUUUACCAGACCUGUCUGCAAAAUCCACCGGUGUGCACCUCGGAGAUUUAGCCAGAUCCAAUUUCAAGAACCUCAGUAUAUGACCCAAGAGAAAUGUUCGCAAUUAAUUUUUUCACAAAUUACAAAUCACUUGAAAAAAAAAAUUCACCAAGGACGAUUGUCAAUUAAUAUUUUUUUAGAAAUCGCAAAAAUACUCAAGAACUCUAAUGCAAGCUCUGAUACCAGUUUUGUUGGGAUUAUUGGUCCCAGAUUUGAUUUUAUCUCAAUGAUCUUAUAUUUUCAGACACUCAGUCAAACCAAAAAAUCAUCUAUCAUUCGACAAAAAACACGACAUCACAAACAGUAGCUAAAAUGCAGAAAAUGUAAAGAAUGAGAACACCAAAAAUGGUCACCCAGUUCACCCAAAUAAGGGCUAAUCUGGGGGGCUCAGGGUCAGCUCAAUGCAUUAUGUAAAACUAGCCUUCCAAAGAGAUCAAUGUACAAAGGAACCAAUCUGACUUUCUCUUAAGGUUCUAAUCAUAGAUCACACAAAGAUCUUAAGAACCAAAUACAAGAAUUAACCCUAAACUUGACAAGAACAAACACAGUUAAACUAGUGCACCACAGUCAAAAAACAAUGGACCGAAACCUUUCUUUCAAGUCUAUAACACAAGGGUUAUACAAUUCUUUUUAACCUCUCUAAUAAUCACAAUGAAACAUGAUAGAAAUUGGAAGGAUUUCAGAGAGAGAGACAGAGAGCCGCCUUUCAAAAAUCUCUAGAAAGAAUGAGAACUCAAGCCACUAAAAACGGGUAGCACAAGAGUCAUAGAAGCCAUGUGUAAUCAAGAUUGAAUCCCUGCCACACAUUAUGAUCCAAUGCCUCACAAUGGAGUUGAAGAAGCACAAUCCUCAUUUUAGUAAAAUAACCAAUUGUUGGUUGCCAUGUGGCCCUCCAAACCAAUUAAAAAGGCAAAGUAGCACUUCUUUUAAAUAACUCCAAAGUUUCCAAUUUAGUGAAACAUGCCUUUUACACUUUCAAGGACGUUGAAAUUAAGUUCGCAAUCUUUGAUGGGAUAUAGGUCACGGAACCUACUCAUUAUCAUUGACCGUUGCUAUUUUUACACAAAUGCCUUUUUUUAAAAGGUUGAACCCCAACCUUGAGGGCCUCCACCUCACCGCCUCUGGAGUAUCGUAAGGGAGGUAAAUCGCAGGAUGUGCCCCAUCAGGCUAGGGAACAGGAGUUUGCUGGUACACUGGUGCCCACAAAAAGUUCAAAUGCCUUUUUUCUGAGUGGCCUCAAGGUUGAACUUAAUCUUUAUUAGGCUGCCAUAGUGAUAAGUUUUCACUUCCAAGGAUUCUGACUCAUUUUUUAAGAAAGUUUUACGGCUUUUAAUUAUAAAAUAGAUGACUAAUGUUAAAUGAUGUUUCAUGGAGUCAUGUUCUUGUCAUAUGUCUUUCUGUCCUUUUUUUAUUAAAGAUACGUGAAAUGGUGUUGUAAUGAAAUUCUUAAAUCUUGAGGCUUUGGUGGCUUGUGUAAUUCCUAUGUUUGGAAUGUCAUUUUCUGAGGUACAUCAAGUUAAAUGGACAAGAGUUGCUGUCAAAAAUUGGAUAAAAGGAAUAUGAAUUUACAUAUUUGUAUGGUUGUUUUUAAUUUAAUGUAGAUUGUGAUCCCGACUUUUAUAUGAAAUCCUGAUUAAGCUUUUGCAUUACAGAUAAAUCAGUUUUAUCUAAGUUCGUGAAUGAUAUGAAAAUAAUACAUGAUGGAAAAUUUUGGAGAAUUGGAAGAUUCUUGCUGAUUCUAAAAUUAGUGUUAAUGAUAUUCUUGGAGGAGUUAUUAUGCAUAGUAAAAAAGGUGAACUCAUAAUUGUUGUUGUCGAUUUUUGUCAUUAAAGAUAGUAUCAGAUUAUGCCAUUCAACUAUUAUUUGCAUUUUAGUUGUUAAUUCUCUGACAAUAUCCAACUUGAUGCUCUUAAUUCAAUUGGUAAUGAAGUUAUAGUUAUACUCACCUGGAACUGGAACGGUGCAUUGUUAGUCAUCCACCCUUUUAACAACCUUCGCGCAGAAAGUAGAGAGAAAAACGGCAAUAGGGUUGUUUGGCUAAGCUUCAAAAUAAUUAACAAUCUUUUUAUUGAUAAAAAUUGAAAGGAGGGUGCUACAUGUUACAGCUCAGUGUACAGUUUCCUCACAUGAGGGGCGAAGCCUGCGCAUUAAUUGGGUGUGGGUACACCGAGCCUUAGUACAAGGGGUAAAAUCCAAGUUGAAAAUAUUAAGUUUAAAGGAUAAGUUUUUUUUUCUCUCUCUCAGAAUAAGUGACUUUUUUACUUAAAAAGUAAGAAAAAGUCAAGGUAAACACAUUUGAAAAAGAAAAGUUAUUUGGUAAGUACUGAACACUCUCCGAACAUCUUAUCUUUGAGAAGUUUGAUAUGCCAUACCAUGGGAAUAGUUCUCAAACGUACUAUAGACCUAAUGUAAAAAUAUUGAUUUUCUUGAUUGGGAUGUUCAAUUUAGUUUUUCUAUUGCUCGUAAGAAAGUAUGGUCUUUUACAAUUUUUUUCAACUUAGUCUGGUGAUCGAUCACCUAGCCAAUUUCUAGGUCAACCAAUAUCUAAUGCAAGCUUCUCUCUUAUAGCCCUAACACUGUGUGCCUUUACUGUUGUCCUUGUUUUCGGGUUCAAUGCAUGUUAAAAUCAGGAAGAAGAGCAAGCCGAGACGACAUAUGGCUGCACCAUCCUUUAGAAUACAUGAUGUGGAUUAUGAAGGUCAUCACCGACUAUGAGGAAGCUCCAAGAAUUCUCUAGAAAAUUAGUGAUGAUUCCUUGCUAAUCAAUUCCUUAAUCCUUGAGCAUUCCUAGAAGAAUCUAGAAGAAACCAAUUGCUUGACAAUUGCCCACUGCCAUACUAGAAGAAUCAAGAAGGAGCAGCAAGUGACUCUCAUCAUUAAUGCAGUGGAAAAAUCUAGAAUGCAUCCCUGCUUAGAAGAUGCUAGAAGAAUCUAAUUACUAUCACCACUGUCAUUUAUGGGUGUCUCUAGAAUUUGGAUUAGCUUCACCAUGGUCAUACUAGAACCAUCCAUUAGCACCUGUAAAUAAAAGGAAGCUGUGUGCAUCAUGGAUGUAUGAAUGAUGAGAGAAAGUGUGUAAAGAUAAGUGAGAGUAAUUAGUACUCCGUUGAGUAUUAUUAGUGGUGUGUUUGUCUUAAAUUGUGUAAGUAAAUUUAUAUCAAUAAAAUCAUUUUCUUUUGGGAUUUAAACUCAACAAUUUGGUAUUAGAGCUCAGCAGAUUAAACCAAGUUCUCUCUUUACUGUCGUAAUUUUACUGCACAGAGUGAAAUUUCUGAUUAGCGUCAAUGAUUUCAAAGAUGUAGAAUCUGUCCUUUGAGCAAUGGUACAAAG